Molecule: long non-coding RNA, 378 nt
Filed under: Heterocephalus glaber (naked mole-rat)
Lineage: Eukaryota; Metazoa; Chordata; Mammalia; Rodentia; Bathyergidae
Description: lncRNA (ENSHGLG00100046681.1)
Source: RNAcentral
GGGAAAGAAAGCCUAUCACAGUGAAGCUGUCCUUUAGCUAUUCUAGUACUCCAGCAUAUAUGUAUAUAUGUUAGACAUCUACCACUUCAAUGUUCCUGGAUGUCUAUUAUAAGACAAAGGAAUCAAGUGGAAAACUUUAAACUCAGACUGAGGACAAAGUUGAAGACUCCGCUGGAUUUUUUAAGUGCAUCAUUGACAAAUGGAGUUCUCCAUUUCCUGACGCUCGACUUUCACAAAUUUUCUUUCUGGGUCUCGUCAAUAAGAGUUUCAUUAUGACACUAACUCAGAAGCUACUUUAAAGAAGUGUGCCUUAUAAAUGGACCUUCCUCUGGGACUAGAAAGAGACCAGAUUCCAGGGUCCUAAAGCAUAAAUAGAAC